Molecule: long non-coding RNA, 2212 nt
Organism: Capra hircus (goat)
Lineage: Eukaryota; Metazoa; Chordata; Mammalia; Artiodactyla; Bovidae
Source: Ensembl
GCCUGGCCUCCAGCCCCACACAUGCCGAGGGAAGCACCUCUGGGUUCGGUUUCCAGGCAGCGGGGCGCUGGGCCCUGCUCCUCAGAGACAGUGGCUCAUCCAGGAGUGUGUGGGGGGAUGCUCAGCGUGACCGGGGGUGGCUGAGGGGGAUCGGCCACCUGCAGAAGACCCGGGACCUCUCCUGUGCAGUGUCACCACUCUGCCACUCCACGCCAGCCAAGUGUCUCCUGGCCUCCCCACCCCCAGCUGCUGGGCACCGCAGGCACCUCAGACAUGAUGCAGUGGCUGCCUCGGGAGCCCCAGGCCGGCCUGAGCACCGCAAGCUGUCCCCCACGCUGUGCAGUCCCCCCUCUGGCUGGAGAGCUCAGAGUCAAUACCAUCAAACGCCACGCACACAGUCAGUGAGUAUCAUCAGCUCAGGGGACUUGGAGCCCUUGAGGACAAGGCUCUCAGAGGUGCUGGAGGGAGCUGGAUGUGGCGGGAGGAGGUCUCCUUCUGAGACCUUGAGGUGGUCGUUGCCUGUCCAGUGUCUGUGCAGCCUCACCUAUCUAUAAAUGGGCCACGGGGCUCCUGAAGGCUACAGGCUUUGUCAGCUUAGAGAUGCUGUCUUUAAAAAAUAAUGCCUACUUAAAAAAAAUCCACGCCCUAUCCCUUCUGUAGACGUCUGAAGGACAGAGUGUGCAGACGAAGGUGACGGUCUCUCACAUUAAAAUCCCCUGCUUUGUGGGGCCCUGUGGGAACUCCUGCCCUGCCCUUGCUCACCCCCCUCCCCCAUGUCACAGCAGGGCUGUCUCUGGUUCUUCCUGCUCAGCACUCUCUGCCUGCCACAGGGCCUUUGCACAGUCUGCUCUUGCAGCUGGGAAGAUCACCCCCGACCCCACCCAUUCCAGCUGCUUUCUUGUCCUCAGAUGUAUCUUCUGCCCCCUACUUGCCCCCCACAGCACUUAACAUAGCCUGUAACGGUUCGCUUCUUCUAUCCACCAGUUUCUUUAUGGCUGCGUCCCCGCUGGAAUGAAGCUCCAAGGGACAAGGAUAAGGCCUAGACUGGUCACCGCCACUGCCUCCCUCGUUCCACACUGUGGGCCUUCCACCGACUUUUGUCCAGCAAAUCACUCACAGUUCCCCAGCCAGAGCCAGUCUUCAGCUUCACCUUGAGCUUUGAUGAUCCGGCCAGUGUGAAAGGAUGGGGAGGUCCAGGUGACCCCUGCCCAGGAUGUUGCUGAGGCUUGUGGGUCUGCCCCACCCUUGCAAGCUCCCCUCAGCGCUCUCCCAGGCCCCCUCCUAGGUGACUGGGGCACUAAUUGCUCCUUGAGGGCCUUAAUUACUGGCCAUGGCCCUCCACCGCUAAGUAGCAGCAUUAAAAUAGAGUAAAUGUUUUCAUUUUCUUGAAAAGUUCACAUAUACAAGAGGAAGUGCUGCUGAGCAGGGACGGGCUGCGCUGGACACCCCCUGGGCCUCGCCUGGGAACUGCCAUGGUCCUGCCUUCCUGCGUCUUCCUUCCCCCAAGGCCCAGAGGUGGAGCAAGGCGCAGGGCCUCCCGGGCUUUCCCUACCCCCAGCACGGCCACCCCAUUCUGGUUGCGUCUCUGCAGUGCCAUUGCGCAGCGCAGGUGGGGAAGCCCUGGUUGAGUGACCUUGCCAGGGCCUCUCCAGAUCUGGGGGUCCCCACGUGGGUCCUCUCACCCACUCGGGCGACUGCUGAGGCCGGAGGCCCCUGGAGCCGCCCACGUGGACCAGCCACCCCGCUCUUUGUCCAGCGUUGAGUGGGCUUGGAAGAAGGGAGGUCGCACUCGGAGCCACCAGACUGGUGGUCGUGGAAAAGUGAAAAGCUUGUGAGGUUUUCAGUGGCCAAGGGGUCCGAGUGGGACCCCGGAGCACAGGGGGCGGUGUGUCUCAGUAUGAGGCUGGGGUGCUGCAGGAGGGCCUGGGCGCUUCCCCGAGGUCCCACGCGGCUCGCUUGGUCCAGGAGGAGGCUGGGCGAGGGACAAGUUCGCAGAAAGCCGUAGGUGCGCUGUGCGCGCGCGCGCGUGUGUGUGUGUGUGUGUGUGCGGGGGUGCGGAUGCACGCGCACCCAGAAUCCCACCCACGGAUACAGCAGCGCAUCACACGCACGGUCACACCCAGGACACACAUGCGGAGGGGGAGGGGCGCGCCCGCCGCGGUCUCGACCGCCGCGCACCGCCCACGCCUGCAGCCCCGCCCCUUCGCCGACC